Drosophila gunungcola (fruit fly) is the source of this 13493-nucleotide RNA transcript. RefSeq lists it as uncharacterized. The transcript is spliced from 23 exons. NCBI's taxonomy places the organism in Eukaryota, Metazoa, Arthropoda, Insecta, Diptera, Drosophilidae. The record is from RefSeq and is a predicted model, not a curated record.
UCAGUUUUUCCUUCCCCAUUUUCACGCAGCCAUCGCCAGGGACAGCCGCACAGCACGUUUCUCUCCGAGUUGGCCUCGCUUAUUGGCAUUCGCCAUUUCCCGCUGAUUUCUGUUGUUUUUUCGCUGAAGCCAUUGUCUUCGGCGUCGUUUGGAACUGUGAGCCACUUCCAGCUCGGAUUCGGAUUCGGAUUGUGUUCGGAUUCGUUUUGUUUUAUUUCCACUAUUUUGUUUUUCUUGUGCGGCGCGUCAGAAACUCGUGCAUGGGGAUCAAUCUCUCCAUUAGAGUCGUCAUCGCUGUUUGAGCCCCUCUGGAUCUGAGCUGCCUGUCGGUUAUUGCAUUGUAAAGACAGAAGGCAAUGUAAUGAUGUUUGCGUCAUGAGCGGCAUUUCUAGCUCAAGAGUGUGGAGUAUCUCCACAUCUCUAUAUCCAAGUAUCUUUGUAUCUGCUGUCGUGCACUUGUAGAGCUCCGUUGCUCGUCGCCCGUCGCUCAAUCGUCUCGCAUUUCGCAUUUUGCGGGCGAAUAUUGUGUAAUAUAUGCAUUGUUGCUGGCUUGCCAGGAAUUGGGUAAUCCAUAUGGCCAAUAUCAAGUAUGUACCAGCACCUCAACUGAAAACGAAACCUCUUGACAAGAGAAAUAUAUAAAACUCAUCUGCACACAUUGAGAUGGAUUGGCGCGGUACAUUUGCAUCUUUUGCAUAGUUUAUCAAUUUAAGGUGCCAUCGAGGCUAAAACCUUUUGAUAAAUUGCACGAAACGAAAGCAGUAUUCAGCAGCGAGCAGUCGCUUUGUGUAUCUGUAUCUCUGAGAUACAUAAAUAUGAAACGAGGCAAAUUCAACAAUCAAUCAGCAGAAGACGACACUCAAUUCAAAUGGCCAAUUUGUUUACAAAUAAAUGUUUGACAAUUUCCGAGGGGCUAACGAGGGUGCUAAACAACUCGAUGCUAUACACUCCCUUUAAACCGAGUGGACUGCAAUUCGGAACGAUCUCAACGCAAAAAUGGCACCGCAACAUCAUCAGCAUCGGCAGCAACAGCAACAAAGGACGCAACUUACUCGGCAAAGGCUGCAGCAACAACAACAGCAACAGCAUUUAGAAACAACAGCAAAGGCCCGGCAACGAUAUAGAGCGAUGGAAAAAUGAAACAAAAACCAGAAACGAAUUUUCCACUCAAAUUUGCAUUCCGCCAAAGAAAUACAAAAGUCUAAACAAAGAGGAAGGAAACAACACAAAAAACAAAUCACAAUAAGAAAGUCGCCAGUGAAAAGGGGUCAGAGGGCACGCACACAAACACACCAAAACACACGGGACCGCAACACAAUCAUAACCAUACAAGGCGCAUAAAACACAUUUAACACACGGACACAAAGGACGACGAGUGCAAUGUGAACAAUUUUCAACGAAUUUCCAAAAGUCUACAAAACAAAUCUAACAAAAGUUCAUUACAAAUAACAAACCAUAAAAAAUUUUGAAAUUUGCUCUGUGAUUUUCUAUCAGAAUGGUUUAGUAAUCCAAAUAAUAAUAAUACAAAUAUUUAAAGUAUUUAUAAAUAUUGCUUAGCUGCGUUCCAAGCAACCGAAAAAGAGAAAAGUUUAUCAAAUCCCCAAAGAAAAGCUUUAAUUCCAAACAGAAAACGUAAAUCAACAAUUUCUAUAAAUAUUACCAACCGAUAUUUAUUACUCUGCGACUAAUUAGAGCAGCUAGUGCUAGUCAAAUAACUUCGAUCAUAGCCACAUUUCCACUAGAGGACAACCCAGACCGGAGCCAUGGACGAAAUGCCCGACCUAUCGCACCUCACGCCCCACGAGCGGAUGCAGAUCGAGAAUGUCCUCAUGCGACAGAAGCAGGAGGAGGAGAAGCAGAACGAGAUCAUGCGGCGCAAGCAGGACGAGGUGGUCACGCUGGAAAUGCAAAUCAGACAGCGCUCCGAGCAGCAGAAGAAGGCUGGCGUCGAGCUGGAUGCCACCUGUCACAUAUGCCUUAAGACCAAGUUCGCCGACGGCGUUGGCCACAUUUGCCACUACUGCAACAUCCGCUGCUGCGCCCGGUGCGGCGGUAAGGUGACGCUGCGCAGCAACAAGGUAAUUUGGGUGUGCAUACUGUGUCGCAAGAAACAGGAGCUGCUGUCCAAGACUGGCCAAUGGAUCAACAAGACGGCGGCCCAACAAGACGGUUUCAUCCGACGCAUCGAGCCGGAUGGGAGCAGCGACAUCUCGCAGCAUCCCAUCGUGGAUCCGCACGACACCACGGACAAGCGGCCCAAGCUGGAAAGGACUCGCAGUGCCGCCGAGAAGGAGAAUCUGCCGAUGCAGCGAGCGGGCAGCAUGCUGAGGCGCCAGUACUCGCAGCAGGAGCAGCCCACGAACCGCCGGCUUUCGGCCUCCGACAGCGGCAUGGACCCCAUAAUGAGUCCUGGCCAGCAGCAGCAGAUGCAGCACCACCAUCAGCAGAUGCAGCAGCAAAGAUCCCGCAUGCAGCCAAUGAAUCCGCAGCAGGCGCAGCAGGGAUACGGAAUGCAGCAGCAGCCACAACCAAGAUCGGGUGGCGCCUAUCCCGACGAUGAUCCGCGUUACUAUCAGGGCGAGCUGGACGGUCUGAUGAGGCAGCAUCCCCACCUGGCGCAUCCCAGCCAGGUGCAACCGCCACAGCAGCAGCAAUCGCAGCACCAGCAGCAUCAGCAGCAGCAACAUACAAUGCCGCAGCAGCAUCGCCAGUCACCGCAGCAACAUCCCCAGCAGCAGCAACAGCAACAUUCGCAGCAAUUUGCGGCCAGGCAGCAGCAGCAGCAUCAACAGCAAUCGUACCAGGCACAAAUACAUCAGCAGCCGCAGCAACAUCCACAUUCGCAGCAGCAACAUCAGCAGCUGCAGCAGCUGCAGCAGCAGCAGCAUGGACAGCAUGGACAGCAGAUGCCGCAGUUGGCUGGCUACCAGAAGCCGCCACCGUUGACCCGCAACCUGACCAUCAGCGGUGGUCAUGCGAUGGACUCCAGUGCCUACAGCCAGCAGCAACAGCAGCAGCAACAGCGACGGGCGCUGGCAGGAUCGCAGUACGCGUCGCAGCAGCAGAGGUCCUUCAGCAGCUCCGAGGAGGAGUUCCAGCACCAAUUGCUGGCCGCCCAGGCGCAGGCGGCCGUGGCGGGGGGCGUGGCCACAGUGACCGCCGGAUCGGACUAUGACGGCGGGCGCCUUCAGGUGCGCACCUCUCUGGAUCCGUGGCGCCAGCAGCGCAGCCUCAACGAGCGGGACCUGCUCAGCGUGGGCGGUGGUGGUGGGGGCGCCGGCGGUGCUGACUUCCGCCACCUGUCGCACGCCACCCAGCGGCUGUACGCCUCCGCCGAUCAGCGGGAUCGCUACGAGCUGCAGCUGCAGCACCGCGAGCGCCUCGAGCAGUAUCCACUGACGCGUACCGCUCGCCUGGACGUCCAGCAGCGCAACUCGCUGAACCGCAGCAAUCACGAGCGGCAGCUCUCCAGCAGCGGCGGCGGUGGGCCAGUUGGGGGUGGUGCCGCUGGCGCCUACAGACGUGCCCCGCCCUUGGCAACCGCCGGCGGCGGUGGCAGCAGCAGCAGCAGCACCACCAGCAGCAGCUACUAUUCCCAGUCGAAGCCGCAGAUUGUGAUUGGUACGGGAUCGGGCUCUGGAUACGAUCGGGCAUCCAUGGCAUCAGGGGCAGCGACCUUGGAGGCCGCAGGUCAGGCGGCGCGAGGAGGGGGCCAGCGUGUUGGCCUGCUGGGCGCCACGAGGGGCGGUGCCGGCGGAGGUGGCAGCAGUUCGGUCAGCUCCACCGAGGCAGCAUACUGGGACGAACCGGCCACCAGCUCGUCCUCAUCGGCGGCCCAAGAUUCGCGGCGAUUCACCGAGCGCAGAAUAAAGAAGACGGUGCGUUUCGAUGCUCACGACGAAGAGGCCGCCAUACUGGCGACCAGCAGCUCACUGCCACCGGUCACGGGAAUCUUGCCCUCGACGGCUGUGGAUGUGGGUGCAGCCACCAUAUUGAGCAGCGGAAAGAGUCUCGAGGCCGGCGGUGCGGACUGGUCGCGCUGGGAGGCCGAAAGGCAGGGCAGUCAGGACUCGGCCACCAAGGACUCGGGAAUCGAUACCAGCAGCACGUUCACCAGCAGCGAGGAUUCAAAUCGCGGAGAUGGGCCCAAGAACCCUGUGAAUUGGCAAACAUCCGCGGAUAAUACUCGCCUGAUCGGGCACAUGAUAUUGCGUAAAUACUAUGAUGGGGAGGAUAUAUUAGGCUUAAAGGUCAACGGAGGUCAGCUCCUCGGAACGGGAACCGUAACGAGCGGCGGAGGUCCAUGCGGGGCCAUUGUGGAGAAGGUGAAGCGCGGAUCGGUGGCCGAUCUCGAGGGAAGGAUUCGACCAGGCGACGAGAUCCUCGAGUGGAAUGGCCGCGGGCUGCACAACAAGAGUGCCGACGAGGUGUACGACAUCAUCGACGAGAGUCGGCUGGACGCCCAAGUGGAACUGAUCGUGAGCCGUCCGAUCGCCAGCGGCGGCGGCAGUGGCGGCAGCAGCAGCAACGUCAGUCCCAUCAGCGGCGCCUCCGGUGGAUCCGCCAACAGUGGUGCCCAGCUCACCGCUCGCCGCUCCUCGGCCAAUUUCCCGCACAGCGGGCUGGCCAGCAGCAUGGCCGGCAGUGCGGUGGUCAGCAGCGGCGGACGAUAUCUCCAGCGCAAAGCACCUGCAGUCGAGGCUAUUGAAAUCCACCGUGACAAGCCGAGCGUGCUGAUCACCUCGCCCGGUUCGCCGGACAUUCACACCAGUGUCACCGGACCGGGAUCGGGAUCGGUAACAGGAGCGGGCGGCGGCGGAGGCGGAGGACUUCGACAACGUGGCGGCGUCGGGCAGACGCAGCGACUGGGACCAAGCCACAGUAACCACAGCCACAGCAGCAGCGGGAGUGGCAGCGGCAGCGGCAGCAGUACCAGCAGCGUCCACGCCCCCCAAUCCGCUCACGGCCCCCCCGCCCACGCGUCCGGUUCCGCCCCUGGCGGCCUGCACGGCACAACGACGGCGGGCCACCAUCACCACCAUUACCACCACCCGCAUCCGCAUCCGCACCAGCAUCCGCUUCAGGGUCUCCAGGGUCCGCCCGCCGCCGCCCACCACCAGCAAGGCCACGGGGUGGGCGGUGGCCUUGGCAUGGGCGGUGGCUCCGGCACCACCACGCAGCCCAUUCCCAUCGAGGGGCGACUGCAGCUGAAGCUCGGCUACGACCAGAACACGCUGCAGCUGAUCGUGACCCUAGUCUGCGCCACCGGCCUCUCCCUGCGCCAGAGCGGAGCGGGCCGCAAUCCCUAUGCUAAAGUGUUCCUUCUGCCCGAUCGCAGCCACAAAUCAAAACGACGUACAAAGACAGUGGGCACCACCUGCGAACCCCGCUGGGGCCAGACCUUUGUCUACUCGGGUCUGAGACGCUGCGACCUCAAUGGCCGACUGCUCGAGGUGACGCUGUGGGAUUAUGUGCGGUAUGGGGCCAACGACUUCAUCGGCGAGGUGGUCAUCGAUUUGGCCCACCACAUCCUGGACGACGAGGCCGAAUGGUAUCAGCUGCAGCCCCACCAGGACACCUCAUAUCUCUUACGAGACGAGGGCAGCGAUGUGGACGGCCUGAUACUGACACCGACAGAUCAUUUAUCACCGCCGAGCACCAUGUCGCGUCUGAGCGAUUCGGACACGACGUCCGACUGCGACAUCGAUGGAAUGACGCCCGGGGCCAGCAUCUCGUCGAUGGGCAGCUCAUCGAGUCCGCCGCCCCUGCUAGAGCUCGAUUUAAACGAGCGUCGGUCCAGACGUGACAUGUCGCCCCAGGGCCGCAAACGGGUGGCCGGGAUGGUGGCCCGCGACUACCGCACAGUAUCUGGCAUUGGACAAAGUUACCACAAUCAGGCCUCUGCCACCGGCUACUAUCGUCGCGGAGGUGGUAAUGGUGUCGGCUCGACCAUCGGUCCCGGUGGCAUGAGCCUUAGCCAGCGCAGUCACUCGGCGGCACCCAGCGACGGUUACCACAGCAGCGGAGGUGUGCCCUCCGGCGGAUCCGCUUACGGCUACAGGAGCACCAGUCCCCGGCGGGGCUCCCUCUCGCCGCCCGACGACCGCUACAUAGACUAUCCAGUGCUUCCAGUUCACGGCUCGCCCAACGCCCCAUCGGUUUACCAGGGUCCGGGUGGUGCCACCUCAGCGGCGGCGGCUGCCUCGCAGCAGCAGCGGUUCCAAUCGCGCUCGGCCACAGCCACGCCCACAGGAUCACCGAAAAAGAGGCAACUGCCACAGGUGCCGCAGACCUCUCGCAGUGCCAUGUUGCGGGACCGCCUUGGGCAGGAUUUCGACGAGCGGCUGGCGUCGGGCGGUCGCUUUGGACGGCACCGCACACGGCAGCCACACCACCAAGCCACUUACCGCAGCACCGGAAUGGGCGGCUGGGAGCGCCACUACACGGGACUGUCCGACAGCGACCUGCAGUCGAUGGAUGCGCGCAUGCGCCCGCGGCACUCGCUGUCGCCGGACAAGGACUUCAUGGGAGAGUUCGGAGACUCGGAUAUGGAGUCAGUAGUCAGUGUGACCUCCAGCGCCUUCUCCACGCAGUCGGAGCGACCCCGCACCUCCCGCGGACUCAGCUUCCCCCGCAACUGGCGCAAUCUCUUUGGCGUCCGCAAUAGUUUGCUCAGCGGAUCUGGAGGCGAACCUAUCACCGGACUGCGGCUACACCACGCGGAGCCCGGAAGGGCCAACACUAUCGAGGUGGAUGACUGCGACUAUCUGCCGGCGGGUGGUGCCCAGCAACUGGUGUUGCUGGAGCAGUUGGAGCAACUGCAACAGUUGGCUGCACUGGCGGCGGCAGACUCCCCACCCAUUUCAGCCGGAAUCGGAAUGGCACCACAUCAGGUGCUGGUGACCGAUGCCAACAGCGGCCAGUUGGUGGAGCAGUUCUUCGUGGAACCCGGCACCAUGGCCGAGGAGAUGAUGAUGAUGGAGCCACUCGAUCCCCAUUUGCAUCCAUAUUCCGCCUUCUAUUCGCCAUCGCCUCAUUUGCCACCGCCAUUCGCUAUCGACAUCUUUCCACCACGACGGUCCAACGGACAGAAACCGAACGUACAACAAGCCACCGCCGCUGCCUAUCCGCUGCCGCUGCUGCCCAGCUUUGAGCAAUUCAAGCGCAUAACCACGCCCAUCACGAAUCUCUUCCGCAGCUCCUCGCCCUCAGGCGUCCACGCCCACGACCACGCCUCCACGACGCCCAGUUCGUUGGUUGGCUAUGUGCGCGACCAUCAGGACAAGAGCUGCAGUCACUGCCAAAAUGGAAGUCAGCCAGUGGUGCUGUCGACGCACCACACGCUGCACCUGACCACCGCCGGUCUGGCGAUUGGCGCCUGCCCGGAUCCCUGCUGUCUGGCGGAUGCCCAUCCCCAUCCCCAGCACCAGCCCAUGGGGUAUCCGUAUGCAGUCGGAGCAGGUGGUGACCACCUGCCUCCGUCAUCGGACCCAGCAAUGUGCGGCGAGUGUGUGGAUCAGCACUUUCUGGGCGGAUUGACGGGGCCGCAGCUAAACCUGGGCGUGGUGCCCACCUACCACGUGCACACGCCCACCCCGAAUGCCCAUCGGCGUGCCAGGGGUCAAAUGGCGACGCCAGCCCCGCCACCCACGCAAUCGGUGCUUCGCCUGUCGCGACAACUGAGCGAAGACGCCCUGGUGGCUGCGGUUCCCAUCUCAGAGGCCAAGGCGCAACCCACUUCGAUACUGAAGAAGCCAAAGCUGGAGCGAAGGCGACUCUUCCACGAGGGUCAGUCGCGAUCCCUGGACUACGAUGAUCUGCACACGAAGAGCUGGGGUCGCCGACGCAUACGAUACGAGGACGAGGUGAUGCCCUCCUCGGCGGACUACCCCUAUCCACAUCCCAACCCGUAUGCCCAUUCACCAACGGCGGCGGCGAUGUCUCGUCGAUAUGGAUCGGAGACCAAUAUCCGGCAGUCGUAUAUGGGCGCCAAUGUGGAUGCCAGCCAUCCGUUGAGUCACUCGCAUUUCCUGGUAACCGAUGACAAGAUUGUUACCAUUACCUACGACUCGGAUGUGGGCUGGACGCGACGUGGGGUGGCCCCAUCCCUCUUCCGGGGGGCACAUCGGCAGCGUGGAUUGGCAGAUGCCAGGCACCACAUGUCGCUGGACUUGCAGCGAACCAGCCAACAGAAGCUGUACGGACCAGCGGCUCCAUACUUGAAGCGCCGACGGAAUCUGCCGCAUCCACCAAGCGCGCAAAAUGCCCACAACUUUUCACCAAUGGAGCCUGGUUCGGGGAUGGACUUGAACGCUGCGGCAGCGGGAAUGGAUCAGGGCAACGGAAUGGGUAGCGGUGGUGCACACAACACUACCAGUACCAGUACUACACACAAUAGCAACCACCAACACACCAACCACCACAAUAGUCAAGCGAGUAGUGUUAGUGUUAGCCAUAGUCACAAUCAACAACAACUACAACAACAACAACAAUCAGUUAGGCAAAAAGGGAAAGAAGGCACCACCGCCAACAGCGGAUCGAUGAUGGCAUCGGAGCAGCUGACGAAAUCUAGUAGUGGGAGCGGUGGUGCAACAUCUGCUGCCGCUGCUGGGCAUCUUGUCGUCGGUGGUACUAAUGCUAAUAAUGCUUCUUCUUCCUCUUUUGCAAAUCCCCAACCACAACAACAACAACAACUUCAUGGAUCACCCAAUAACAACAAACGUGCCCCAUCAUCAACACCACAACAACAACAACCACAACAAUACACAAACACCAACAAUGACGCCAACAACCUGACGCUUGACGCCACACAACAACAAUCACAACAACAACCACCAAAUACAUGCACAAAUCUGAUCACAAAUACAACAACAACAUUAACAACAACAACCACAACAUCGUCGAAUGCAACGAAUGCGGCGACAACGACAACCGCAACAACAACAACAAAUGCUACAACAACUGCCAUAAAUCCAACAACAACGAAUAACACGAACGAACCAAACGCAACAACAACGAACGCAAAUGCUGAUGCGGAUGCGGACGCGGAUGCUCCGCUGGACGCAAUCGACUGGGAUGCCAUUGAUGCGAUGUUGGACGAUGACUUUAGCGAGUACGACAAGGACAAGAAUGGAGCUGAGGAGACGGGCGGCUCCAAGUCAGCGGAGGGUGUUGGUGCCGAAGAUAAAGUCGAUGGCAGCCUCUCGGACACAGCGAACGACCGCAAGAAGGGCGGCGGCGUCGACCAGGAGCGAUCCCCCAAAGGAGGCAGCGGUAUGGGCAAGAAGUCGAACUCCACAUCGCAACUUUCGGCCACAGGUCGUAAAAGACGUAUGGGCUUUGGAAAGAAGGGUAAGAACUCGUUCACGGUGCACCGCAGCGAAGAGGUGCUGCCCGGCGAUAUCACGCGGGAGCUGCGCAGCGGCGGCGUUAGCCUCGGCGGUGCCGGUGCCGGCGGUGGUGGUGCCAGUGGCGCCGGCGGUUCAGCAGGCGCCGGCGGUGGGGGCGGCCUGUCCCGCGGCUCGUCCUCGGAGGCGGACGCCAUCGAGCAGUUCUUCGGCGAUGGCGCCGGCGGGGAAAGAUUCUCCCCCUCGUUGCGCAACGAUGGAGCCCUCAAUGAGUUCGUAGAUGGCCUCGGACCGGGUCAGUUGGUGGGCCGCCAGGUGCUGGGAGCUCCCUCGCUGGGCGACAUCCAAUUAUCGCUGUGCCACCAGAAGGGCUGCCUAGAGGUGGAGGUCAUACGGGCUAGGGGCUUGCAACAAAAAGCCCAGUCAAAAAUGCUGCCCGCCCCGUACGUAAAGGUUUACUUAGUGUCGGGAAAAAGAUGUGUGGACAAGAUGAAGACCUCGUCGGCGCGACGAACUCUGGAUCCACUGUACCAGCAGCAGUUGGUGUUCAAGCAGUCCUAUACUGGUUGCAUACUACAGAUAACCGUGUGGGGCGAUUACGGACGCAUCGAGAAGAAGGUGUUUAUGGGCGUGGCGCAGAUAAUGCUCGAUGAUCUGAAUCUGUCGAACAUCGUGAUCGGCUGGUACAAGCUCUUUGGCACCACCUCUCUGGUCAGUUGUCCCACUAAUAUAGGCUUAGGGUCUAGGCGCUCAUCCAUAGCCUCACUCGACUCACUCAAACUGUAGAUCUAAACUAAACUGAACUCGACUAAAACCAACAUAUUUUAAAAUCAAUUCGUACACGAAAAAAAAAAAACCAAAAACACAAAAUAGAAAUUUCGCAAAUCGCAAAUUUGAUAAACAAAAACACUUGCAUAUAUUUAUAUAAUCCUACACACAGAACAUAUAUUUAUAUAGUAUUUAGCUCAACGUUUUGUUCAAAGCAAGUUACCAAGAACAAAAGUUACACAACUUUGUCGCGUAAACAGUCACAAAAACCUGUAAAAAAAAUUCCAAGCUCAAAAAAUCAGUUUUAAAAAAAACAUCAAAAAUUAAACCGAAAAAAUUGUCAAUAUCAAAGCAUUUGUUUUUAGUUAGCAAUAUACAGUACAUACGCACUCCUGUAAAUGAAAAGCUUAUUCAAAUCACGGUAACACACACACAAACACUACACACCAAUGAGGCAAAAGUAGAACGAAAAUUCGCAUUGUGUACUUAAACGUUGAAUGGAGAGUUGAUCGAAAGCAAUCCAAUCAAAACCAAACUGCAAACCAAAUUAAUACGAAAAUAACCUUUCGCAAGUCACCAUAAAUCACCGUUACCGUUAAAGUUACCGUCACUUCAACGUAGUUUUCACAUAGACUCGUAUAAUACUCAUAUAGUAACCAUUCGCCCGUGCUGUCAGCCCGGCAGCCAAAUAGCAAAGGACCAAGGGUUAGCCUGCAGCGGCUCAUCCCAGGAAGCCGCCCGAUCCUCGUUCGGCAGGUUGCUGGCCUAAGCUAAGUCCACAUCUAUUUUUUUUCUAUUCCACGGCGAAGGAAGACUUUAAAUGAACAACAACAAACAGAACUAAAACAAAAAUUAUAAAAAAAAGAGAAAUAUCUAAUUUUUAUAAGUCAUGAAAACAAAUGCAUUUAAUGAACCGAGAACAGAAAACACAAGCAGAGCAGCAAAAUGAUUAAACAUAACUACGGAAUACAGCUAAAAGAUAAAUGUAAAGGAAGUCUAUAUAUACAUAUACACAUAUAUAACAGAUAACAUUUGACAAAGAAUACUUGUAAAUUAUGCAUAUUUAAAAUAAUUUUUAUUACACACCUAAGAUCACUAUUAUUUUCGUAAUACGAUUACUACGAUUAUUAUUACUUAAAACUAUUAUUAAAAGAAAAAAAUACCAAAAAAAAAACAAAACAAAAAAAAAACAAAGGAGAAGGUGGAUAAAGUUAAAGUGCUAAUGUCAGUCAUGCCUAAGCCUUAGCCUGAGCAGAGACUCUGAAGGAUAUAAAUUGUUUAUUGAAUAAAUAGCUAAAUCUAAAUCAGUAAAGGCAGUUAUAGAUUUUCAGAGGAGGGAGUUAUUUAAGUAUAUAUACAUACAUAUAUAAAUCUAUAUAUACAUAAAUAUAUUUACUGUUUAAGCAAGCAAAGAACCACUAACACUUAAAUAAGCCUAACUUACGAUAAAACCGAUAAAGUUAAAGCUUAAGAUUAGGUAACUAAAAAGGGAUAUGAGAUAUGUAUUAAUCGAACAACCAAAAGAACAACAAAUAUUUACCAAGCGAGAGAUGAGCAAGUUUAACUUAAUAAUGCGAAAUCUGAACUCAAGCUGUACAUAGGAUCCACACACGUUACAUAUACACUACAUCCGGAUUACCUAUUACCAAAACUACCGCUUCCCCGAGUUUAGGCUUUAUAGCUAUUGGUUAGCUCUGCGCCACGGCUUAAACUCCGCAGCCACCCCAAAAUGUACGAGUUUUUGCCGUCGGCGAUGAGGACACAUAUAUAUUUGAGUCAGAAUGGUAUCGUAUAAUUUAACUUAGAGCAAAGAAAAACUAUCUCUCUCUAUGAAUAUACUAUAUCGCAUUUUUGUUGUAGCUUCCCCCGCUUCACUUCGACGCGCUUUUAGGGCCGCUUUAAAGUUAGUUUGUCGCCUUGGUUCCCAAUCAACUUGCCUCGAAAACGCAUCAAGUACCUUCAAUUUAAUAGUGUGAGCUGUAAAAAUCGUUACCUGCUUGCCAAAAAAUCACUAACACGUACAUUAGCAUAGAUGGGAAACGAAAAAAUGCUACGGAAAACCAAAAAUAGUUUGCAAUAUACUGCAUGUUAAUUUGGGAUAUUUUUGGCAUUUAUGUGGGCAACAUUUUGCAAUGCAUUCCUGGGGAGAAGCAAACAUAUCACUGGCCUGCAGACAGAUGAUGGAUGGGAGCAGUUAACUUUUAUAUAUACAUUAGGACAUAGGUCAGGGGGAUAAAUAUGAUUAUGAGAAACCUAGAUAUUGUUCCUAUCCAGUUGUUUAGUGCUCUUUUUUUUUGCUUUCACUCAUGGCUACGGAUAUUGAGUUGAACCUUUCCGUCCAUUCAUUCAGAUACACACAGCUAUACAUAAACAGUUGCAGUUACAGCUUACAGCUUACAGAUUGAGGUAAAUUAAAAAAAUAUAUUGACAUGUGCAUAUCCAUCCAAGCAGCAGCUUCCUAUAUCAGCGCUAAACAACUAAUACGUAAAGAAAUGCCGAAACACAGGGAAAAUGCAUUCAAAAUGUUGCUGCAAAAAAAUCCCAAAAAAUCGCUCAUCAAGCAUUGAAACACAGAAGAGGAGGAUAACGCGCUUCUGAUAUUUGAGAAAAGUUAAACUACCAGCGAGGUUUCCAGCAACUAAUUAUACGAUAUAUAAGUCAGAGGAACAUACACUCAGAUACAUACAUUAUAGAUAAUCAGAUUUGUACAUUCCGCUCUUCACGAAACCCAUACGAACUUUUCUAUGAUAAAACUCUCUCUAUCUCAAUCUUUCUAUUGUUUCCACUGCUCUCCUUCAGCAAACAUUCAAAGAUGCUUUGACUACUCAGCAAUCCAGCAAAAGGAAGAACAGAAAUACAAAAAAAACUUCGGCAAGUUCGACGUUAAAAUGUCCUUUCCGAAACCGGUUGGCAUGUGAAUAGAUAAUUUGCAGGAAAUUUGUGCGCCGUGGCGCUUUCAAAGCGAAGAGUUCGUUAAGGGCAUUUCUACCGUACAGUCAUACCAGAAAUUCUUAUUAGGAUUCCUAUAGAAUUCGUUACAUUUAAGACACACCAAAGACAAAAGCAUAUAGAAAAUGUUAAUGAUGCAAAUGAUAUAUUACGGCAAGUUAUUUCAAAGGCAACCAAUACAAGAAACAAAAUGCUAUUUACUAAGUUCGAUUUGAAUGACAGGCGACGUUAAUACACGAUACACAAAAAGAUCAACAACAAAGAUAUAUCAUUUAUUGCAAAUGUUGAACAAAAUUGAUUAAAGGGCAAAGGUCAGCGCUCUCGCUGGGCGCCCUUGACACCUUAUAUUGUAUUUUAAUAUCUCGACAACAAUCGAAGGUCGAGAAACGACAAUAAACUGUGAAAUGAAUAUGUAAAAACAAAAUAAAA